GAUGAACGCUGGCGGCGUGCCUAAUACAUGCAAGUCGAGCGAACAGACGAGGAGCUUGCUCCUUUGACGUUAGCGGCGGACGGGUGAGUAACACGUGGGUAACCUACCUAUAAGACUGGGAUAACUUCGGGAAACCGGAGCUAAUACCGGAUAAUAUUUCGAACCGCAUGGUUCUAUAGUGAAAGAUGGCUUUGCUAUCACUUAUAGAUGGACCUGCGCCGUAUUAGCUAGUUGGUAAGGUAACGGCUUACCAAGGCAACGAUACGUAGCCGACCUGAGAGGGGGAUCGGCCAAACGGGAACUGAGACACGGUCCAGACUCCUAGGGGAGGAAGCAGUAGGGAAUCUUCCGAAAGGGGCGAAAGCGUGACGGAGAAACGCGGCGGGAGUGAUGAAGGUCUUCGGAUCGUAAAACUCUGUUAUUAGGGAAGAACAAACGUGUAAGUAACUGUGCACGUCUUGACGGUACCUAAGCAGAAAGCCACGGCUAACUACGU
RNAcentral lists this ribosomal RNA (496 nucleotides) under uncultured bacterium. RNAcentral describes it as "partial 16S ribosomal RNA". It matches the Rfam family "Bacterial small subunit ribosomal RNA", at positions 28 to 506 of the family's 1533-position model. The record is from RNAcentral.